GGCACUACGGUGCUGAAGCAACAAAUGCCCUGCUUCCAGGAAAAGCCUCUAAGCAUCAGGUAACAUCAAAUCGUACCCCAAACCGACACAGGUGGUCAGGUAGAGAAUACCAAGGCGCUUGAGAGAACUCGGGUGAAGGAACUAGGCAAAAUGGUGCCGUAACUUCGGGAGAAGGCACGCUGACACGUAGGUGAAGUGAUUUACUCACGGAGCUGAAGUCAGUCGAAGAUACCAGCUGGCUGCAACUGUUUAUUAAAAACACAGCACUGUGCAAACACGAAAGUGGACGUAUACGGUGUGACGCCUGCCCGGUGCCGGAAGGUUAAUUGAUGGGGUCAGCGCAAGCGAAGCUCCUGAUCGAAGCCCCGGUAAACGGCGGCCGUAACUAUAACGGUCCUAAGGUAGCGAAAUUCCUUGUCGGGUAAGUUCCGACCUGCACGAAUGGCGUAAUGAUGGCCAGGCUGUCUCCACCCGAGACUCAGUGAAAUUGAACUCGCUGUGAAGAUGCAGUGUACCCGCGGCAAGACGGAAAGACCCCGUGAACCUUUACUAUAGCUUGACACUGAACAUUGAGCCUUGAUGUGUAGGAUAGGUGGGAGGCUUUGAAGUGUGGACGCCAGUCUGCAUGGAGCCGACCUUGAAAUACCACCCUUUAAUGUUUGAUGUUCUAACGUGGACCCGUAAUCCGGGUUGCGGACAGUGUCUGGUGGGUAGUUUGACUGGGGCGGUCUCCUCCUAAAGAGUAACGGAGGAGCACGAAGGUUGGCUAAUCCUGGUCGGACAUCAGGAGGUUAGUGCAAUGGCAUAAGCCAGCUUGACUGCGAGCGUGACGGCGCGAGCAGGUGCGAAAGCAGGUCAUAGUGAUCCGGUGGUUCUGAAUGGAAGGGCCAUCGCUCAACGGAUAAAAGGUACUCCGGGGAUAACAGGCUGAUACCGCCCAAGAGUUCAUAUCGACGGCGGUGUUUGGCACCUCGAUGUCGGCUCAUCACAUCCUGGGGCUGAAGUAGGUCCCAAGGGUAUGGCUGUUCGCCAUUUAAAGUGGUACGCGAGCUGGGUUUAGAACGUCGUGAGACAGUUCGGUCCCUAUCUGCCGUGGGCGCUGGAGAACUGAGGGGGGCUGCUCCUAGUACGAGAGGACCGGAGUGGACGCAUCACUGGUGUUCGGGUUGUCAUGCCAAUGGCACUGCCCGGUAGCUAAAUGCGGAAGAGAUAAGUGCUGAAAGCAUCUAAGCACGAAACUUGCCCCGAGAUGAGUUCUCCCUGAGACUUUAGGUCUCCUGAAGGAACGUUGAAGACGACGACGUUGAUAGGCCGGGUGUGUAAGCGCAGCGAUGCGUUGAGCUAACCGGUACUAAUGAACCGUGAG
RNAcentral lists this ribosomal RNA (1366 nucleotides) under Salmonella enterica subsp. enterica serovar 4,[5],12:i:-. RNAcentral's name for it is "partial 23S ribosomal RNA". It matches the Rfam family "Bacterial large subunit ribosomal RNA", at positions 1573 to 2915 of the family's 2925-position model. Lineage: Bacteria; Pseudomonadati; Pseudomonadota; Gammaproteobacteria; Enterobacterales; Enterobacteriaceae. The record is from RNAcentral.